This is a long non-coding RNA of Mauremys reevesii (Reeves's turtle), 337 nucleotides long. RefSeq lists it as uncharacterized. NCBI's taxonomy places the organism in Eukaryota, Metazoa, Chordata, Testudines, Geoemydidae. The record is from RefSeq and is a predicted model, not a curated record. The transcript has 3 exons.
UGGAGGAGGGAGCACACGGCUGUCUGGGCUCUGCUUUUCAGACAGUUGGGAGCAUUUUGGGGAGCAUAUAGCACCUGUUUACAUAGAACUCGCAGAGGAAUCCACAUCUUCACUGUCAUCUGCAAUUAUAUGUGAAACAUCAACAGUCUUCUGUGGCUCAACCAUCCCAGCACAGGAGAGAGGGACCUUACCUACCGUAUCCUCAGGGUUAGGAAAGAGAAGGACGAAAUUAUACCAAGCUCUGACAAUCAGCCUUUCUUUAGGAGCCGAUAUGGAUCUUUAUGGCUACCUCCGCCGACUGCUGGUCCAGUCUGGAGCCACAGACCAGGGGAACGAG